GGUCAUGAGUGUCAGCGCGAAGCCCCGGCUUGCUGACCGGCAACCCUCCAACCGCGGUGGGGUGCCCCGGGUGAUGACCCGGCCGGCGGGCGAAGGCACCCGACGGCAAGCGCGGGCC
RNAcentral lists this non-coding RNA (118 nucleotides) under Luteipulveratus mongoliensis. Its description in RNAcentral is "SAM-IV sequence". It matches the Rfam family "SAM (S-adenosyl methionine) riboswitch aptamer". Rfam says of the family: SAM-IV is a mRNA element that regulates gene expression via direct sensing of S-adenosylmethionine (SAM or AdoMet). The record is from Rfam by way of RNAcentral. Lineage: Bacteria; Bacillati; Actinomycetota; Actinomycetes; Micrococcales; Dermacoccaceae.